UCUCGCAUUCCUGACCACGAAAACAACUUUAUUUUUUAAAUCCUGCCCUGUGCUCCAGCUCCUCUCCUCCCGGAGCGCCACUGCCCAGGGAACUCCACACGCACAGACAAACACCAAAUAACACGAACCGGCGGAACCAUCGGCCCGCGGCCAGCGAGGAGCCACCUCAGGCUGAACAAUCCCAACUCUCUCAGCCUUUUAUGACAGCAGUAGUGUUCCAUCCCCCGAUCAUCCUGGUGCCUCCUCUGGAUAUUCCAACAGGUCCGUGUUCCUUCUCUGCUGGGACCCCAGAACUGGAGGGAGAAAGCAUCCAGCAGGCACUGAAAUGUGUCAAAAUCCUCGUCCACAACUGAAGGACAAUGGAAGCAACCUCUAAAUCAUGGUGCUCUUUGGCAAAAAUGAAUUAAGCUUGCCUUCCGAUUUUGUACGCUGGUCUUGCCAAGUGGGGUAGAUUGUGUUUGCUUGGUGGUUUGGUGUGGUUAAACAAAUAUUUAAAAAGUAAAUAUCUAUGCUUAAUUAAGUAUCACCAUUGUUUAUGUUUAAAUAAAAUGUUUAAAUUACAA
Molecule: long non-coding RNA, 563 nt
Organism: Melospiza georgiana
Lineage: Eukaryota; Metazoa; Chordata; Aves; Passeriformes; Passerellidae
Exons: 3
Source: RefSeq, a predicted model, not a curated record